Molecule: ribosomal RNA, 456 nt
Filed under: Triticum aestivum (bread wheat)
Lineage: Eukaryota; Viridiplantae; Streptophyta; Magnoliopsida; Poales; Poaceae
Description: partial small subunit ribosomal RNA
Source: RNAcentral
AUGUCGUCCCCGCUAUCGUCGGUUCUCCCUCUCUCCCUGAUUGUUCCCAAUCGAUCUUUGAGCCACCACGAUUCCCAAAUCCAUCUCCUUGCUCCCCACCCUACCCAUGGCGCCGUCGAUGCCGACGGGUUACUACAAGUGCGGUCCAACCUAAUCCCCAACCCUGUCGUACGCACCUGCCACUUCGGCCCUACCACCAGAGACGAACACCCAAGUUCGUUGCGACGCCGGAGGGUGAGGAGGCGCAACACGAAGGCGGGAAGGAGAGGGAGACGCGGCCCAAUCUCAAGCCGAACCUGCUCCUCUCUGACAGCGGCUUGGGCUUCGUCCUCUGAUAAUUCUCCAAGACGGCCAUGCCCCACCCAGCCACGAGCUCAAACAGCUCAAGUUUCAAUCAAUCCUGGUCUGCUGAUAUGGAGAGCGCAAGACCUGGUCUUUGGUUCCUGGAACAAGUGA